AGGACGAACGCUGGCGGCGUGCUUAACACAUGCAAGUCGAACGAUGAAGGGGAGCUUGCUCCUUGGAUUAGUGGCGAACGGGUGAGUAACACGUGAGUAACCUGCCCUUGACUCUGGGAUAAGCACUGGAAACGGUGUCUAAUACCGGAUAUGACCCUCGGCCGCAUGGCCAGGGGGUGGAAAGAAUUUCGGUCAAGGAUGGACUCGCGGCCUAUCAGGUAGUUGGUGAGGUAAUGGCUCACCAAGCCUACGACGGGUAGCCGGCCUGAGAGGGUGACCGGCCACACUGGGACUGAGACACGGCCCAGACUCCUACGGGAGGCAGCAGUGGGGAAUAUUGCACAAUGGGCGAAAGCCUGAUGCAGCAACGCCGCGUGAGGGACGACGGCCUUCGGUUGUAACCUCUUUAGUAGGAAGAAGCGUAAAGUGACGGUACCUGCAGAAAAGCACCGGCUAACUACGUGCCAGCAGCCGC
Molecule: ribosomal RNA, 475 nt
Filed under: uncultured bacterium
Lineage: Bacteria
Description: SSU rRNA
Rfam family: Bacterial small subunit ribosomal RNA
Source: RNAcentral